GUCGAACGGUAACAUUUCUAGCUUGCUAGAAGAUGACGAGUGGCGGACGGGUGAGUAAUACUUAGGAAUAUGCCUUUGUGUGGGGGAUAACUAUUGGAAACGAUAGCUAAUACCGCAUAAUGUCUUCGGACCAAAGGGGGCUUCGGCUCCCGCGCAAAGAGUAGCCUAAGCGAGAUUAGCUUGUUGGUGAGGUAAAGGCUCACCAAGGCGACGAUCUCUAGCUGUUCUGAGAGGAAGAUCAGCCACACUGGAACUGAGACACGGUCCAGACUCCUACGGGAGGCAGCAGUGGGGAAUAUUGCACAAUGGGGGAAACCCUGAUGCAGCCAUGCCGCGUGUGUGAAGAAGGCCUUCGGGUUGUAAAGCACUUUCAGUUGUGAGGAAAGGUUAACGGUUAAUACCCGUUAGCUGUGACGUUAGCAACAGAAGAAGGACCGGCUAACUCCGUGCCAGCAGCCGCGGUAAUACGGAGGGUCCGAGCGUUAAUCGGAAUUACUGGGCGUAAAGCGCACGCAGGCGGUUUGUUAAGCUAGAUGUGAAAGCCCUGGGCUCAACCUGGGAAUUGCAUUUAGAACUGGCAGGCUAGAGUUUUGGAGAGGGGAGUGGAAUUCCAGGUGUA
Molecule: ribosomal RNA, 619 nt
Filed under: uncultured bacterium
Lineage: Bacteria
Description: bacterial SSU rRNA
Rfam family: Bacterial small subunit ribosomal RNA
Source: RNAcentral